AGCACAUUCCAGGAGAUAGCAGGAAGCAAGGACACUGUAGGACAAUAUGAGAGCCAUAUGGCAUUUACAAUGCCUGGAUUGUACAGAGUUGUUCAUGGCAUUAAUGUGUUCGACCCCAAGUUCAACAUCGUCUCACCUGGAGCUGAUAUUAACCUCUACUUCCCGUACUCCGAAUCGGAAAAGAGACUUACAGCAUUUCACCCUGAAAUUGAUGAGCUGCUGUACAGUGACGUUGAGAAUGACGAACAUCUGUGUGUGCUCAAGGACAGGACUAAGCCAAUUUUAUUCACAAUGGCAAGGUUGGAUCGUGUGAAGAAUUUAACCGGACUUGUUGAGUGGUACGCCAAGAAUCCACGACUAAGGGGAUUGGUUAACCUGGUCGUAGUUGGCGGAGAUCGAAGGAAGGAAUCCAAAGAUUUGGAAGAGCAGGCAGAGAUGAAGAAGAUGUAUGAGCUAAUAGAGACUCAUAACUUGAAUGGCCAAUUCAGAUGGAUUUCUUCCCAGAU
Molecule: unclassified non-coding RNA, 506 nt
Filed under: Hevea brasiliensis (rubber tree)
Lineage: Eukaryota; Viridiplantae; Streptophyta; Magnoliopsida; Malpighiales; Euphorbiaceae
Source: RNAcentral